This 492-nucleotide ribosomal RNA is filed under the name uncultured bacterium. RNAcentral describes it as "partial 16S ribosomal RNA". It matches the Rfam family "Bacterial small subunit ribosomal RNA", at positions 29 to 507 of the family's 1533-position model. The record is from RNAcentral.
AGUGAACGCUGGCGGUAGGCCUAACACAUGCAAGUCGAACGGCAGCACAGUAAGAGCUUGCUCUUACGGGUGGCGAGUGGCGGACGGGUGAGGAAUACAUCGGAAUCUACUUUUUCGUGGGGGAUAACGUAGGGAAACUUACGCUAAUACCGCAUACGACCUACGGGUGAAAGCAGGGGAUCUUCGGACCUUGCGCGAUUGAAUGAGCCGAUGUCGGAUUAGCUAGUUGGCGGGGUAAAGGCCCACCAAGGCGACGAUCCGUAGCUGGUCUGAGAGGAUGAUCAGCCACAUUGGAACUGAGACACGGUCCAGACUCCUACGGGAGGCAGCAGUGGGGAAUAUUGGACAAUGGGCGCAAGCUUGCUCCAGCCAGACCGCGUGGGUGAAGAAGGCCUUCGGGUUUUAAAGCCCUUUUGUUGGGAAAGAAAAGCAGCAGGUUAAUACCCCGCUGUUCUGACGGUACCCAAAGAAUAAGCACCGGCUAACUUCGUG